RNAcentral lists this ribosomal RNA (433 nucleotides) under uncultured bacterium. RNAcentral's name for it is "partial 16S ribosomal RNA". It matches the Rfam family "Bacterial small subunit ribosomal RNA", at positions 29 to 507 of the family's 1533-position model. The record is from RNAcentral.
AACGAACGCUGGCGGCAUGCCUAACACAUGCAAGUCGAACGAGACCUUCGGGUCUAGUGGCGCACGGGUGCGUAACGCGUGGGAACCUGCCCUUAGGUUCGGAAUAACUCCCCGAAAGGGGUGCUAAUACCGGAUAAUGUCUUCGGACAAAAGAUUCAUCGCCUUUGGAUGGGCCCGCGUUGGUUUAGCUAGUUGGUAGGGUAAAAGCCUACCAAGGCGACGAUCCAUAGCUGGUCUGAGAGGAUGAUCAGCCACACUGGGACUGAGACACGGCCCAGACUCCUACGGGAGGCAGCAGUGGGGAAUAUUGGACAAUGGGCGAAAGCCUGAUCCAGCAAUGCCGCGUGAGUGAUGAAGGCCUUAGGGUUGUAAAGCUCUUUUACCCGGGAUGAUAAUGACAGUACCGGGAGAAUAAGCUCCGGCUAACUCCGUG